AGUAAAGUCAGCUAAAUAAGCUUUAAGGUCCAUAACCUUGAUAUGAAGGCUAAAAUCCUUCCUUUACAC
This 69-nucleotide transfer RNA is filed under the name Papiliolebias bitteri. Its description in RNAcentral is "tRNA-Met". It matches the Rfam family "tRNA". Rfam says of the family: Transfer RNA (tRNA) molecules are approximately 80 nucleotides in length. Their secondary structure includes four short double-helical elements and three loops (D, anti-codon, and T loops). Further hydrogen bonds mediate the characteristic L-shaped molecular structure. tRNAs have two regions of fundamental functional importance: the anti-codon, which is responsible for specific mRNA codon recognition, and the 3' end, to which the tRNAs corresponding amino acid is attached (by aminoacyl-tRNA synthetases). tRNAs cope with the degeneracy of the genetic code in two manners: having more than one tRNA (with a specific anti-codon) for a particular amino acid; and 'wobble' base-pairing, i.e. permitting non-standard base-pairing at the 3rd anti-codon position. The record is from RNAcentral. Lineage: Eukaryota; Metazoa; Chordata; Actinopteri; Cyprinodontiformes; Rivulidae.